UUGACGUCAGAGUGAGCAGGGCGGUUUCUGCUGCCUUCGCAUUCCAGCCCCACACACCUCCCUGCAGCCUGGCACUGGAAACUGCUGAGCCAUGCAGGGCAGCCUGGUGGCGGCUAGGACACUUCUGCAGAGGACCUGGAGUUGGGCUGCUCCCGGGGCUCCCAUCUCUUGCUGGGUCUGUUUUCAGGUGCACCCUCCUCCUCCAGGAGGCAGGGGCAAGACCAGCUUCAGCCCUUCUUGCUCUCCAUGGUCUGUAUAUGGACAGGGUGUGGGCCCGGGGAGACAGUUGUGUGGUGUGUGCAUUGUGUGUGUGGGGGGGGUUGUCUGUGUGUCUGUGAAUAUUUGUGUGAUAUGUGUGUAGUAUGCUCAUGUGUCAUGACUCUGUGAGGGUGUGAUGGAAGAGUGUGUGUAAGAGAGAAGUUUGAGUGUGUGUGGUGUGUGCAUCUGGUGUCUGUGGGUGAUGUUUGUGUACAUAGUGUCUGUGUGUGUGAUGUCGGUGUGUUGUGUGGGUUUGUGUGUGUAUAUAGUGUCUGUGUGUGUGAUGUCAGCGUGUUGUGUAAGGAUUUAUGUGUGUGUGUGGUGUCUGUGUUUGUGAUGUUGGUGUGUUGUGUGUGGGUCUAUGUUUGUGUGUGAUGUUGGUGUGUGUGAUAUCAGUGUGUUGUGUGUGGGUUUAUGUGUGUGUGUGUGAUGUCUGUGUCUGAUGGUGUGUUUUGUGUGGGAUUGUGUGUGUGUGUGUGGUGUCUGUGUGUGUGAUGUCAGUGUGUUGUGUGUGGGUUUAUGUGUGUGAUGUCGGUGUGUGUGAUGUCAGUGUGUUGUGUGUGGGUUGAUAUGUGUAUGUGUGAUGUUGGUGUGUUGUGUGUGCAUUUAUGUGUGUGUGGUGUCUGUGUGUGUGAUGUCAGUGUGUUGUGUGUGGGUGUAUAUUUGUGCAUCAUGUCAGUGUGUGUGAUGUCAGUGUGUUGUGUGUGGGUUUAUGUGUGUGUCUGAUUUUGGUGUGUUGUGUAUGGGUUUAUGUGUGUGUGGUGACUGUGUGUGAUGUUGGUGUGUUGUGUGGGUUUAUGUGUGUGGUGUCUGUGUGUAUGAUGUCAGUGUGUUGUGUAGGUUUAUGUGUAUGUGAUGUUGGUGUGUGUAAUGUCAGUGUGUUGUGUGUGGGUUUAUAUGUGUUUGUGUGAUAUUGGUGUGUUGUGUGUGGGUUUAUGAGUGUGCAUGGUGUCUGUGUGAUGUUGGUGUGUUGUGUGGGUUUGUGUGUGUGGAUGUGGUUUCUGCCUAUGGGAGGAGGUUUGCUCACAGAUGGAGGAGAAGGAGCUCUAUAGGCAAAGAUCCCAGGGCCGUGGAGGAGGAGACACAGUCCUGAGAACUCCUUCCUCUGAAUCAGAAGGACAGGAAAGGUGGGAUUUUAAAGGAACAGAGAACCCUGGUGGGAGAGGUGAAUCUGAGCUCCUCGGGCCAUCGGGUGUCCUGUGGAGCAGAGGCAGGCCCGUGAGGGUGAUUUUCAGAAUGCUGCCUGCUUCUGAGAGCAGAAGUCCUAGCAGAGUAUGCCCACGCUGGUUAGUGCUGCUGCAAAGAUGAGCCGAAGACCAUGAGAGACCUCCAGGUGGUCCUUCUGGGGAGAAGAAAUGGGUUUUGGCCCCAAAUCCUUCUGCUGCAUUUUUCCCCUAUCCCUGGGAAGCCAUGAGACCUCAAACCUGUGUUCCCAAGGAGGCGAGCUGCUGUUCCCAGGUGAUGAUAUGAUGUGCUUGGGGAAAGUAAGUGGCUGCCAGACAUGGCUGAGAGCUGUUGUCACUGCCGUCAAGUGCAUGUCUCCAAGCCAUAUCACACGGCGUCCCUCGAUGUGAGGCCACAUGGCAAGUGGGCCGUGGAUCUCCCUCUGCCCUUUGCAAGCACGUAAGACAGCAGAUUUUGCAGAUACCUUGUGGCGCAGGGGAAUUUCCUUUGGCCAGGUCUGAAGAAAUAAAGCAGCAGGCACCGAGAACAAAGCCAAGGCUUUCAAAAGACAAGGAGCCAAAAAACUUACUCAAAAUAAAAGUAGUUUUAAAAUGU
This 2037-nucleotide long non-coding RNA is filed under the name Homo sapiens (human). Its description in RNAcentral is "HSALNT0400147". The record is from RNAcentral. Lineage: Eukaryota; Metazoa; Chordata; Mammalia; Primates; Hominidae.